This 740-nucleotide ribosomal RNA is filed under the name uncultured bacterium. RNAcentral's name for it is "bacterial SSU rRNA". It matches the Rfam family "Bacterial small subunit ribosomal RNA", at positions 91 to 805 of the family's 1533-position model. The record is from RNAcentral.
GCUAGCGGCGGGUGCGCAACGCGUAUAGAAUUACUCCGUACAGGGGGAGAGCCCGGAGAGGUCCGGAGUAAUACUUCGUGGUAAUAUAGAAUGGCAUCGUUUUAUAUUUAAAGCUUUCGGGCGGUACGGGAUGGCUAUGCGUCCUAUUAGUUAGAUGGUGAGGUAAUGGCUCACCGUGGCAUCGAUAGGUAGGGGCCCUGAGAGGGGGAUCCCCCACACUGGUACUGAGACACGGACCAGACUCCUACGGGAGGCAGCAGUGAGGAAUAUUGGACAAUGGGCGGAAGCCUGAUCCAGCCAUGCCGCGUGCAGGAAGACGGCCCUACGGGUUGUAAACUGCUUUUAUACGGGAAGAAUAAUCACGACGUGUCGUGGGGAUGACGGUACCGUAAGAAUAAGGACCGGCUAACUCCGUGCCAGCAGCCGCGGUAAUACGGAGGGUCCGAGCGUUAUCCGGAAUUUAUUGGGUUUAAAGGGUCCGCAGGCGGGCUUUUAAGUCAGGGGGUGAAAUGGUUGCGGCCUCAACCGUAGCACUGCCCUUGAUACUGUGUAGUCUCUGAGUUAUGGGUGGGAGUGGCCGGAAUUUUGUAGUGUGUAGCGCGUGGAAAUGCCCUAAAAUAUUUNCAUAAAGAAAACCGAUCGCCGAAAGCCAGGGUCCACUAACCCAUUAACUGACGCUGAUGGACGAAAGCGUGGGGGAGCCGAGCAGGAUUAAAAUACCCUUGNAGUCCACGCCCCUA